Molecule: ribosomal RNA, 876 nt
Filed under: Lactobacillus sp. C11_83
Lineage: Bacteria; Bacillati; Bacillota; Bacilli; Lactobacillales; Lactobacillaceae
Description: bacterial SSU rRNA
Rfam family: Bacterial small subunit ribosomal RNA
Source: RNAcentral
UGCACCUGAUUGAUUUUGGUCGCCAACGAGUGGCGGACGGGUGAGUAACACGUAGGUAACCUACCCAGAAGCGGGGGACAACAUUUGGAAACAGAUGCUAAUACCGCAUAACAACGUUGUUCGCAUGAACAACGCUUAAAAGAUGGCUUCUCGCUAUCACUUCUGGAUGGACCUGCGGUGCAUUAGCUUGUUGGUGGGGUAACGGCCUACCAAGGCGAUGAUGCAUAGCCGAGUUGAGAGACUGAUCGGCCACAAUGGGACUGAGACACGGCCCAUACUCCUACGGGAGGCAGCAGUAGGGAAUCUUCCACAAUGGGCGCAAGCCUGAUGGAGCAACACCGCGUGAGUGAAGAAGGGUUUCGGCUCGUAAAGCUCUGUUGUUAAAGAAGAACACGUAUGAGAGUAACUGUUCAUACGUUGACGGUAUUUAACCAGAAAGUCACGGCUAACUACGUGCCAGCAGCCGCGGUAAUACGUAGGUGGCAAGCGUUAUCCGGAUUUAUUGGGCGUAAAGAGAGUGCAGGCGGUUUUCUAAGUCUGAUGUGAAAGCCUUCGGCUUAACCGGAGAAGUGCAUCGGAAACUGGAUAACUUGAGUGCAGAAGAGGGUAGUGGAACUCCAUGUGUAGCGGUGGAAUGCGUAGAUAUAUGGAAGAACACCAGUGGCGAAGGCGGCUACCUGGUCUGCAACUGACGCUGAGACUCGAAAGCAUGGGUAGCGAACAGGAUUAGAUACCCUGGUAGUCCAUGCCGUAAACGAUGAGUGCUAGGUGUUGGAGGGUUUCCGCCCUUCAGUGCCGGAGCUAACGCAUUAAGCACUCCGCCUGGGGAGUACGACCGCAAGGUUGAAACUCAAAGGAAUUGACGGGGGCCCGCAC